Molecule: long non-coding RNA, 485 nt
Organism: Ipomoea triloba (trilobed morning glory)
Lineage: Eukaryota; Viridiplantae; Streptophyta; Magnoliopsida; Solanales; Convolvulaceae
Exons: 2
Source: RefSeq, a predicted model, not a curated record
AAUAAACCAGUAGCUACGCUUGUGUCAGCAUAAAGACCCACAUUUUUUUAAGACUUAAAGAUCACUUUCUUCACGAAAGCAUCCGUGCCCUGUUCCUUUCUGUUGGCUUGGUAAUUGCAAUGCUAUAAGUUUAACUUCUCGUGGGAGCUGUCUAUCGGUCUGCUGGUUUACUCGCUUAUGAUCCUUUACAGGCUAUGAUCGCAACGCAGACUUCACCUUAGACAAUCAGGUAUUGAUUGUGGAUUUUCUCGUAAAUUAAAAAAACGCACACACACUUACACACAUAAGCACACACAUAAGCGACAACCAUGUUGUAUUGUAGGGUAAAUUGUCCUUAUGUAUUUGGGAUAUUGUAAAUUAUUGCAGUUGGCAUAUAUCAAUUGUACUAGAUAUAACUCAUUGAAAGAAAUCAUAGACGGGUAAUUGAGUGUAAAUAUACUAACAUUAUAAAUUUAUCAUAAUGUAUUAAUUAAAAGUAUAAACUA